RNAcentral lists this unclassified non-coding RNA (283 nucleotides) under plant metagenome. RNAcentral's name for it is "partial contains small subunit ribosomal RNA, internal transcribed spacer 1, and 5.8S ribosomal RNA". The record is from RNAcentral.
UUUCCGUAGGUGAACCUGCGGAAGGAUCAUUGUCGACGCCUGCCCAGCAGAACGACCCGCGAACUUGUAUAAACAACCGGGGGCAGGGGCGAUCUCGCCCCGUGCCCUCGAACGGCAGGGAGACACUCGUGCCUUCUUGUCGAACAACGAACCCCGGCGCGGUCUGCGCCAAGAAACUUCAAUUAAAGAGUGCCUCUCCGGUUGCCUCGGAAACGAUGCGCGUGUCGGAGGCGAAUCUUGUACAAAACCACAACGACUCUCGGCAACGGAUAUCUCGGCUCUC